CCUCGUUUUGCUUCUCGUCUCGCACGCGCCGCUCGUCUCUCUGUCGGCCGGUCCGGUCGCGCCGGUCGCCGGCGACAGCGUCGACGGCCACAGCGCCGCGCCGCUCUUCCCCUUUCUCCUCCUGCUCUCCCCCAUCCACAGCUUCCUACUGGACCGAGAGAGAGGCAGAGAGGUGCGGGGCUUUCUCGAUGCGGCGGGUUGGGGCCGCGCCGGUCGCCGGUGACGGCGUCGAGCGGCCACGGCGGCGCGCGAGCCUGCUCUUGUUCCCCCUCCUCUCUUUCUCUUUCUCUUUCUCUGUUUCACCCAUCCACCACGUCCUUCUUUUAGAGAGAGAGAGAGAGCCAUGAGAGGUGCGCGAUA
RNAcentral lists this ribosomal RNA (360 nucleotides) under Triticum aestivum (bread wheat). RNAcentral's name for it is "partial small subunit ribosomal RNA". Lineage: Eukaryota; Viridiplantae; Streptophyta; Magnoliopsida; Poales; Poaceae. The record is from RNAcentral.